UGCUUGUUUUCUUAGGGAUAACUCAAGUC
Molecule: non-coding RNA, 29 nt
Filed under: Rattus norvegicus (Norway rat)
Lineage: Eukaryota; Metazoa; Chordata; Mammalia; Rodentia; Muridae
Source: RNAcentral